GAUGUCCCUGGUGUCCCCAAUGUCCCUGCUGUGUCCCCAAUACCCCAAUGUCCUGCUGUCCCCAAGGAUGUCCCUCACUUGGUGACGGGCAUGCGGUGCCAGGCGUUGCUCAGGACCCCGCGCAGGUUCCAGAUGUCCCCAAUGACCCCAAUGUCCUUGCUGUGUCCCCAAUGUCCUGGUGUCCCCAAGGAUGUCCCUCACCCUCGGUGUUGGGUUGUACCUCUGAUGUCCCCAAUACCCCAAUACCCCAAUGUCCUGCUGUCCCUCACUUGGUGGCAGUGACACUGACCCGGUGCCAGGCGUUGCUGAGGACCCCGCUCAGGUUCCAGAUGUCCCCAAUGACCCCAAUGUCCCUGCUGUGUCCCCAAUACCCCAAUGUCCUGCUGUCCCCAAGGAUGUCCCUCACUUGGUGACGGUGAUGGGCACGCGGUGCCAGGCAUUGCUGAGGACCCUGUGCAGGUUCCAGAUGGGCCCCACGUUGUCAGGUUGUACCUCUGAUGUCCCCAAUGUUCCCAAAGCCCCAAUACCCCAAUGUUCUGCUGUCCCUCACUUGGUGACGGUGACGGGCACGCGG
This 574-nucleotide long non-coding RNA is filed under the name Zonotrichia albicollis (white-throated sparrow). Its description in RNAcentral is "lncRNA (ENSZALG00000009178.1)". Lineage: Eukaryota; Metazoa; Chordata; Aves; Passeriformes; Passerellidae. The record is from RNAcentral.